AUUGAACGCUGGCGGAAUGCUUUACACAUGCAAGUCGAACGGCAGCACGGACUUCGGUCUGGUGGCGAGUGGCGAACGGGUGAGUAAUGUAUCGGAACGUGCCCAGUCGGGGGGGAUAACGAAGUGAAAAUUACGCUAAUACCGCAUACGAUUAACGGAUGAAAGCGGGGGAUCGCAAGACCUCGCGCGAUUGGAGCGGCCGAUAUCGGAUUAGGAAGUUGGUGGGGUAAAGGCCCACCAAGCCAACGAUCUGUAGCCGGUCUGAGAGGACGAACAGCCGCACUGGAACUGAGACACGGUCCAGACUCAUACGGGAGGCAGCAAUGGGGAAUUUUGGACAAUGGGCGAAAGCCUGAUCCAGCCAUACCGAGUGCAGGAUGAAGGCCCUCGGGUUGUAAACUGCUUUUGUAGAGAACGAAAAGGUUUCUACUAAUACUAAGGGCUAAUGACAGUACUGUAAGAAUAAGCACCGGCUAACUACGUGCCAGCCGCCGCCGUAA
Molecule: ribosomal RNA, 500 nt
Filed under: uncultured bacterium
Lineage: Bacteria
Description: partial 16S ribosomal RNA
Rfam family: Bacterial small subunit ribosomal RNA
Source: RNAcentral